RNAcentral lists this ribosomal RNA (698 nucleotides) under uncultured Haloarcula sp. RNAcentral describes it as "bacterial SSU rRNA". It matches the Rfam family "Archaeal small subunit ribosomal RNA", at positions 95 to 793 of the family's 1478-position model. The record is from RNAcentral. Lineage: Archaea; Methanobacteriati; Methanobacteriota; Halobacteria; Halobacteriales; Haloarculaceae.
AACACGUGGCCAAGCUACCCUGUGGACGGGAAUAAUCUCGGGAAACUGAGGCUAAUCCCCGAUAACGCUUCUGCCCUGGAACGGGCGAAGCCGGAAACGCUCCGGCGCCACAGGAUGCGGCUGCGGUCGAUUAGGUAGACGGUGGGGUAACGGCCCACCGUGCCCAUAAUCGGUACGGGUUGUGAGAGCAAGAGCCCGGAGACGGAAUCUGAGACAAGAUACCGGGCCCUACGGGGCGCAGCAGGCGCGAAACCUUUACACUGCACGACAGUGCGAUAAGGGGACUCCGAGUGCGAGGGCAUAUAGUCCUCGCUUUUCUGUACCGUAGGGAGGUACAGGAACAAGUGCUGGGCAAGACCGGUGCCAGCCGCCGCGGUAAUACCGGCAGCACGAGUGAUGGCCGAUAUUAUUGGGCCUAAAGCGUCCGUAGCCGGCCGUGCAAGUCCGUUGGGAAAUCGACGCGCUCAACGCGUCGGCGUCCAGCGGAAACUGUUCGGCUUGGGGCCGGAAGACCUGGGGGGUACGUCCGGGGUAGGAGUGAAAUCCCGUAAUCCUGGACGGACCACCAAUGGCGAAAGCACCUCAGAAGACGGACCCGACGGUGAGGGACGAAAGCUAGGGUCUCGAACCGGAUUAGAUACCCGGGUAGUCCUAGCUGUAAACGAUGCUCGCUAGGUGUGCCACAGGCUACGAGCCUG